Small nucleolar RNA from Nycticebus coucang (slow loris), 217 nucleotides. RefSeq annotates it as small nucleolar RNA U3. The record is from RefSeq and is a predicted model, not a curated record. The transcript has a single exon. NCBI's taxonomy places the organism in Eukaryota, Metazoa, Chordata, Mammalia, Primates, Lorisidae.
AAGUCAAUACUUUCAGUAUCAUUUCUGUAGUUGAUUGCCGGAGAAGUUUCUCUGGAUGCGUAAAGCCCUGGAACCCACGAGAAGAGGCCACAGCGUUCUCGCCUGAGCGUGAAGCUGGGACUUGGUGUUGCUUUGUUGCCAUUUGCCAUUUGCCAUUGAUGAUCAUUCCUAUUCUUCCUUCAGGAAAGUAAGAGGGAGAAAACACAGACUGGGUGCU